AUUGAACGCUGGCGGCAUGCUUUACACAUGCAAGUCGAACGGUAACAGGCCUUCGGGUGCUGACGAGUGGCGAACGGGUGAGUAAUGCAUCGGAACGUGCCCAGAGGUGGGGGAUAACGCAGCUAAAGCUGUGCUAAUACCGCAUGUGAUCUGAGGAUGAAAGCGGGGGACCAGGCAGCAAUGUUUGGCCUCGCGCCUUUGGAGCGGCCGAUGUCAGAUUAGGUAGUUGGUGGGGUAAAGGCCUACCAAGCCGACGAUCUGUAGCUGGUCUGAGAGGACGACCAGCCACACUGGGACUGAGACACGGCCCAGACUCCUACGGGAGGCAGCAGUGGGGAAUUUUGGACAAUGGGCGCAAGCCUGAUCCAGCAAUGCCGCGUGCGGGAAGAAGGCCUUCGGGUUGUAAACCGCUUUUGUACGGAACGAAAAGGCUCUGGCUAAUACCUGGGGCUGAUGACGGUACCGUAAGAAUAAGCACCGGCUAACUACGUG
Molecule: ribosomal RNA, 492 nt
Filed under: uncultured bacterium
Lineage: Bacteria
Description: partial 16S ribosomal RNA
Rfam family: Bacterial small subunit ribosomal RNA
Source: RNAcentral